RNAcentral lists this long non-coding RNA (541 nucleotides) under Homo sapiens (human). RNAcentral describes it as "TMEM220 antisense RNA 1". The record is from RNAcentral. Lineage: Eukaryota; Metazoa; Chordata; Mammalia; Primates; Hominidae.
AGCGCGAAGAAGGCGGCCAUGAGUCCGUUGCAGGCCCGCCACAGCGCUGGCGCCAUGGCUCGGAGAACACGGCGCGGGGCGGUGAGUCCUGCCACGUGCGGGGCGGUGUGGUCAGCUACUCCGGAAUGUGGCAGGGGUGGAGGCCGGACAAAGUCUGAAACAGGGUCAUCACCAUAGCACCUGACAUACCUGGAUAUAAACAAUAUCCAAGGCCCCUAAGGUAAAAGCCUUGCUCCAAGUCCCCUUCUGACUUCUAGUCACUUCCGUGCUGCCAGCAGAGGGCGUGGGAUUCUUCCUGAGGAGCCUGAGUCUCAGCUUUGCCAGGUCCUUGCUGUGUGACCUUGGGCACCUGUGCUCCCUUGACAAAGAGGAAUAAAACCUCUUCAGACUACUCUCCUAUCGAUUCUCUCCUGGAACAUAUGACCACCAUCAAUUAUAGGCAAGAACAUGAACACGGGAGUCCCAAAGACUUGGGUUCAAAUGUCAGCCCCUUCACUCGCUGGCUGUAGGUGUGAGGCCCUGGGUAAGGUCCUUACCUCCC